UAUAAAUCUAGAGGUUGCAGUCUAUCAAUAACAUUAGUCGAGUAGAGGAUUACGUUGACACUAAUGCACAGGGAAGAUUGCCGAAAUGUGAUAAAGUUCCUCGCUUAUCAUGUUGGGUCUAUAGUGAAUAACUAUAGAACUGUCUUAGUUAAAACUAAGAUGCGCUAUGAUUAGA
Regulatory RNA element from Vagococcus teuberi, 175 nucleotides. It matches the Rfam family "Lysine riboswitch aptamer". Rfam says of the family: Riboswitches are metabolite binding domains within certain messenger RNAs that serve as precision sensors for their corresponding targets. Allosteric rearrangement of mRNA structure is mediated by ligand binding, and this results in modulation of gene expression. Lineage: Bacteria; Bacillati; Bacillota; Bacilli; Lactobacillales; Enterococcaceae. The record is from Rfam.